RNAcentral lists this ribosomal RNA (273 nucleotides) under uncultured prokaryote. RNAcentral's name for it is "partial 16S ribosomal RNA". It matches the Rfam family "Bacterial small subunit ribosomal RNA", at positions 524 to 796 of the family's 1533-position model. The record is from RNAcentral.
UACGUAUGGGGCAAGCGUUGUUCGGAAUUAUUGGGCGUAAAGGGCGUCUAGGCGGGGGAUUAAGUUAGAUGUGAAAGCCAUGGGCUCAACCCAUGAACUGCAUCUAAGACUGGUUCUCUUGAGUUCGGGAGAGGAGAGCGGAAUUCCAGGUGUAGCGGUGAAAUGCGUAGAUAUCUGGAAGAACACCAGUGGCGAAGGCGGCUCUCUGGCCUAGGACUGACGCUGAAGCGCGAAAGCGUGGGGAGCGAACAGGAUUAGAAACCCUUGUAGUCC